This 253-nucleotide ribosomal RNA is filed under the name uncultured bacterium. RNAcentral's name for it is "partial 16S ribosomal RNA". It matches the Rfam family "Bacterial small subunit ribosomal RNA", at positions 524 to 776 of the family's 1533-position model. The record is from RNAcentral.
UACGUAGGCAGCGAGCGUUGUUCGGAGUUACUGGGCGUAAAGGGUGCGUAGGCGAUUUUCCAAGUUUGGUGUGAAAUCUCCCGGCUUAACUGGGAGGGUGCGCCGAAAACUAGGAGACUUGAGUACCGGAGAGGUAAGCGGAAUUCCUGGUGUAGCGGUGAAAUGCGUAGAGAUCAGGAGGAACACCUGUGGUGUAGACAGCUUACUGGACGGUCACUGACGCUGAGGCACGAAAGCGUGGGUAGCAAACAGG